CGUAGGAUCCGAGCGUUGUCCGGAUUUACUGGGUGUAAAGGGUGCGCAGGCGGACUGGUAAGUCAGAGGUGAAAUCUCGUCGCUUAACGACGAAACUGCCUUUGAUACUAUCAGUCUUGAGUCCGGUAGAGAUCUGUGGAAUUCCGAGUGUAGCAGUGAAAUGUGUAGAUAUUCGGAAGAACACCAGUGGCGAAGGCAGCAGAUUGGGCCGGUACUGACGCUCAGGCACGAAAGCAUGGGGAUCAAACAGGAUUAGAUACCCUGGUAGUCCAUGCCCUAAACGAUGUACACUUGAUAUCUGCCCUCAGGGUAGGUGUCGGAGCUAACGCGUUAAGUGUACCACCUGGGGAGUACGCUCGCAAGGGUG
This 367-nucleotide ribosomal RNA is filed under the name uncultured organism. RNAcentral describes it as "bacterial SSU rRNA". It matches the Rfam family "Bacterial small subunit ribosomal RNA", at positions 526 to 896 of the family's 1533-position model. The record is from RNAcentral.